This 490-nucleotide ribosomal RNA is filed under the name uncultured bacterium. RNAcentral's name for it is "partial 16S ribosomal RNA". It matches the Rfam family "Bacterial small subunit ribosomal RNA", at positions 28 to 507 of the family's 1533-position model. The record is from RNAcentral.
GAUGAACGCUAGCUACAGGCUUAACACAUGCAAGUCGUGGGGCAGCAUGGUCUUAGCUUGCUAAGGCCGAUGGCGACCGGCGCACGGGUGAGUAACACGUAUCCAACCUGCCGUCUACUCUUGGACAGCCUUCUGAAAGGAAGAUUAAUACAAGAUGGCAUCAUGAGUCCGCAUGUUCACAUGAUUAAAGGUAUUCCGGUAGACGAUGGGGAUGCGUUCCAUUAGAUAGUAGGCGGGGUAACGGCCCACCUAGUCUUCGAUGGAUAGGGGUUCUGAGAGGAAGGUCCCCCACAUUGGAACUGAGACACGGUCCAAACUCCUACGGGAGGCAGCAGUGAGGAAUAGUGGUCAAUGGGCGCAGGCCUGAACCAGCCAAGUAGCGUGAAGGAUGACUGCCCUAUGGGUUGUAAACUUCUUUUAUAAAGGAAUAAAGUCGGGUAUGUAUACCCGUUUGCAUGUACUUUAUGAAUAAGGAUCGGCUAACUCCGUG